UACGUAGGUGGCAAGCGUUGUCCGGAAUUAUUGGGCGUAAAGCGCGCGCAGGCGGCCUCUUAAGUCUGAUGUGAAAGCCCCCGGCUCAACCGGGGAGGGCCAUUGGAAACAUGGGACGGCUUGAGGUAGUAGGAGGAGAAGAUGGAAUUCCACGUGUAGCGGUGGAAAUGCGUAGAGAAUGUGGAGGAACACCAGUGGCGAAGGCGACUCUUUGGCCUAUAACUGACGCUGAGGCGCGAAAGCGUGGGGAGCAAACAGG
This 259-nucleotide ribosomal RNA is filed under the name uncultured bacterium. Its description in RNAcentral is "partial 16S ribosomal RNA". It matches the Rfam family "Bacterial small subunit ribosomal RNA", at positions 524 to 776 of the family's 1533-position model. The record is from RNAcentral.